AUGUAAAAUUAAAGGAGUGGACUAUAUGAUUUUUAAAGUUCCUUCAAAUACUGAAAUCAUAUGAUCCAAUAUAGAAAACAUUUAGAUAAUAAUCUACCCAAGCCAAAUGUCAUAUAAAACUCUGUCGUGUCACUCCAACCCUCACCUGUAAAAGCUGAGUGAGGAACCUAAAAUUCACCUUUAUGAGGUUGUAACGAGGCAUCCCAAUACUCCCCCAACUAGUAAUGCCAGGGAAAGCCAAGUAGAGAGCUGGACUUUCAUCCAUGCUAGCCCGUAAAAAGCCUUCAUUCUAACCCUCAGUGUCAGUGGAGACCAACUAUUUAACCUGGACUUCCACCCCUACCCAGAAGGUGGGAUGCCCAGAAAGAAUCCCUUCCCCUCUUUCUUGGGUAGUGUCAGAAGAGCCCUAGUGUAAAGUCAGGACUUUCACAAUAGCUAAGCCCAUGCAGCAGUAAUGAGGAGCUUUGUUUCUUGUGUCAGUGGAGGACAGGUGGGAAAUUGGAUUUAACCACCACCUAACAAUAUUGCUGAACUGCUACCCCUAUCCCUACCAGAACGGUGUCAGAGAAAGCUAGCUAAAACGGAAGAUUUAAAUAAGAUCCAGAGUCUCAAAACAUAAUGCAAAAAUUGCCUGGUUAUAAUAGAAAUUCAUUCAUCAAAUCAAGAACCAGGAAGAUGCAAAGAAAUAAUCAAAAGAUAACACCACGGUGACCUAGAUGUUAGUAUUAUAGGACAAGUACCUUAAAAGAGCCAUCAUAAAAAUGCCUCAGUGAGCAACUAAAAACAUGCUUGAAACAAGUGAAAAAUUAGAAAGUCUUAGCAAGUAAUCGAUGAUGUAAAGAAGAACCAAAUGGAAAUUUUAUGACUGAAAAAUACAAUGACCAAAAUUAAAAGGCUCAAAGACAUAGGGAAAUAGGUUCUACUUACAUAAAUGGGUUAGAAAAAAGCUUAGGGAGGAAAGCCGCCACCAGGGGGCGAAAGUACCCGAGGUUAGCUAGCGCGAUCUUGUAAUGAGAUCAAGAGUAACUUGUAUCACCUGCAGGAAAUUACCUACCAUCUGGCGCCAAUGUACCUUGAUCACAAACUCCACUUGCGUCCCAGACCCUUUGCUUACACUCAAAAGUUAAUGAUUACUGUCUGACUGUUUUCUUCACGUUCACCACAAGGGUAAUAUCUUGUGAGCUCAAUAAAAACGGAGACGAAACCCCUGUUCGAGGCUCUUGUCUCCUCCCAGACAUUAGUCUUUUUCGUUUUAAGUUUGUGUCCACUCUUUUGCUGGAGAGAACCCCAGACUCAUAAUCUGUGACAGGUGGCGAUCCGAACGUGAUAGAAGGCAACGUGAAGGCGAAGUGAUUGGAAGAAAAGCCAACGUGGCUAAAAAGCAGAGGUAACUCAGGGACGGCAGAAUGCCAUGGAAUGACUGGAGCUCUAAAGAAGAAAAGGUGCACAAUCUCUUCUGACGAGUCUAGCUUGUGGUGUAGAAGAGAAAAGCAAGAAUUCAGCAGACUUCAGAGAACUGUACCUAACUCAGUUACCGUUCUGAUUUGUACUCCUACAAAUGUGUUUCAUCUUCAAGGACAUUCAUAGAGAGGACUCUCGACAAACACAGCUGGAUCCUGACUUCUAAUGAUUUCCUUGAUUAUUUGGAUAAUUUUCUGCCUGACUACUUACACACUAUAGGCCUGACUGAAAGCCAUGAGACAACUGUUUAACUGAACUGACCUGAUUUACUUCAUUAUGAAAUGUGUAAUAAGAAGCGAAGACUACACAUUAGAGUUCCAAAAAAAAUGGCUCUAUGAAGGAUAGAGGGCUCAACGUAAUACCAGGGGCUACCUGUAACUGGAUGAAAGACAGUUUCACUCCUUGAAUCCUGAUCUAUGCCCCUUUUCAGCAGGAAGUAGCUGGAGUCGUCCCUGUCACUCAAGAGUGAGGAAUGAUGAAAAGUCAGGUUGCUAUGGAGACCAAACAGCUACUGUGUUGUUGCUAAAUGAAGAUUUGCCAUGUCUACUCACUUUGAAACAUCUGUCCUACUGCCCCAGCCUGGCACUGCUGAUGUCCCUCUGUCCCUGUUGCCUCAGGAAGCAUCUCCCUCUUGUGAGCCAUAACUUAAGGUCAAAUUCACAAUCACUUUGAGGCUGGGUCUUUGGAGAGGAUCUCUUCUGCUGAUACCUUCACUUGAUGACUCACCUCUUUACCAAGUCACUGGGGAACUACUAAAUGUUUUCUUUUAUAGGUAUAUUAACCUCAUGUGGCCAUUUAUAUUACUGCUGUGACAUAGGUAUGCAAGCCAACUAACUCUCAACAUCUUGCUCUUGGGCCAUGAUGGAAGAAUGUCACGUAAAGGCUGCACGGGCCAUAAACAUGUUGCGGGUAAAGCAUACCAAUGCUGACAAUACUGAUUCCAUGUUGCACCCUCCAUCCUGUUCACGUCCAGGCCAUCACCUCCCUCAGGGCUACAUGUCCCGGGCCCCCUGGAGGCUAGGUAUGCCCUGACCAGAAUAUGGGAAGGCUUGUUGUGAUCUUCCCUAAAGUUGUUUAGAUAACUAGUAGAGGUAAUGUACUUUCCUCCCCCAUCAUUUGGAGUACAUGUGGUGCCACAGGGUCUGUUAAGUGUUAAACCCUGUGACCUCACCACAGUGCCCUCUGCACAUCCCUUCACACCCUAUAAAAUCUGUGGACUGAGGUCUAGACUUUGUGAAGAACAGCUGUGCAGCUACUUGGAUCAUCACCUGCCCAACCCCCCGGGUCAGUAAGUUACCCUGAAUAAAACUCUGUGUAAACUGUA
This is a long non-coding RNA of Felis catus (domestic cat), 2785 nucleotides long. RefSeq lists it as uncharacterized. The record is from RefSeq and is a predicted model, not a curated record. The transcript is spliced from 4 exons. Lineage: Eukaryota; Metazoa; Chordata; Mammalia; Carnivora; Felidae.